UUUCAAAAAUUUCUAUCUCUUUGUACUGUUAAAUAUUAAUGUGGUUGACAGAAUAACCAGAUAAUGACAUAUUAGAUGUCAUGUGUACUAUCUAUUGACAUACAAAGACCAGUUUUUAACAGUAAAAUUGAUGAAUUUUUUUAAU
RNAcentral lists this microRNA precursor (145 nucleotides) under Gossypium arboreum. Its description in RNAcentral is "MIR7502 microRNA precursor family". It matches the Rfam family "MIR7502 microRNA precursor family". The record is from Rfam by way of RNAcentral. Lineage: Eukaryota; Viridiplantae; Streptophyta; Magnoliopsida; Malvales; Malvaceae.